Non-coding RNA from Oncorhynchus mykiss (rainbow trout), 527 nucleotides. The record is from the annotation of a RefSeq genome assembly. NCBI's taxonomy places the organism in Eukaryota, Metazoa, Chordata, Actinopteri, Salmoniformes, Salmonidae.
GUGGUCUACUGAUUGUCAUCUAUUCACCUAUGUGACACUCCUCUUGUUUUAUAUACAUUGAUACCAGACUCUUUCCAGCACUCUCACAUAUAACGUGAUCAAACAUGUUCACAUUUCUCUUCACUGUUACUGUCUCACUGCUCUGUGCUGCAGGUCUUGUUGAGGGGAGUGAAGUCACUCAGACACCCACCAUACUCUGGGAACUGAAAGACAGUGAUGCUCAGAUUAACUGCAGUCACACUAAGGGAGCUACCUACUACCAGAUGUACUGGUACAGACAGCUUCCAGGAGAGGGAAUGAAGCAGGUAGUCUUCAUUACUCCCAGUUCUCAACCUGACUAUUCAGGGGAAUUCAGUAAAGACAAAUUCUCAGCCAGCAAGGCUGUAGCUGAGAGUGGAUCUUUCACAGUGAAGAAGUUGGAGACAGGAGACAGUGGAAUGUACUUCUGUGCUGUGAGUGAACACAGUGAUACAGACAACAAGUACAGCUGCACAAAAACCCCAGUAUUUCAACAGGAUGUAACAUAA